Magnolia sinica is the source of this 1181-nucleotide long non-coding RNA. RefSeq lists it as uncharacterized. The transcript is spliced from 3 exons. NCBI's taxonomy places the organism in Eukaryota, Viridiplantae, Streptophyta, Magnoliopsida, Magnoliales, Magnoliaceae. The record is from RefSeq and is a predicted model, not a curated record.
CUUCCCUUGAUCCAGAACUAGGGUUAAUUCAAAUGUCAGGUAAGCAUUUGGUUGUUGAACUUUCAUUGAACCAUUGGAUUUGCAAACCCACCAUAAAUAACUGGGACAUCCCUCUUUCAGUUUCCAGGUUCGUGAUUUGCUAGCCCCACAUGCACCCCUCGAUGCUCAACUUGGCACAGAUAGAUUUUAGAAAGUGAUGUGAUUAAAGGAUGGGCUUGUACAUGGUGUGAUCUGGCCCAUACCUUCCCUAGGGAUAUAGACCUCUAAGACCAAGUGAUCUGAUGAUCUUCAAUGCUCUUAAUUCAUCCAUUCCACAUAUGCUGAUGGGUAGCAUGAAAAUCAUGUGCAAGGCAAAAGGACCAUGCAUGGCCAUUUGGUGGAUGCCAGCUCUAAAUGGCCUGCCUUACAAUGAGGAUGAUGAUCCAGGCAUGAAGUGGGCCACAAGGGAAGGGGAAACGGAUGGAGAGGAUAUGAGAGAGGAGUAGAGAGGCUCCCCGAGAACAUUCCAGAAGCUUCCACCGCCGCCAUCGCAAUCCCCAAAUUCAUAUUCCCUCCGAAGAAUGCACCCAUUCCAGAAGUAUCUAGAAACGAAGGCGAUGACGGCGACGUCGGAUCUAAACACCCAUAAGACUGCGUGGGACAUAAACAGUCUUCUUCGAACACAGACGGCAACAGCUGAGGCGCUGGAAGCGCUGCAACGGAGUCGGGCGAAUACGGUGAGAAGCCGUUAACAUUGCUGACGUCCGUUAACGGAAUUUGGGACUGUAAGGAAGAGAUAUCGAAUUGUUCGUGUUGGUUUGAUGUGAUGACGGGAGGAAUGGAGAAUGGAGAAGGGAAAUUCAAGGUGGUGGGGAUUUCGGGUUCGGCUUCGAGAGGGGAGUCGAGGAGGAUGGAGAUGGUGGCGUCGUUGAAAUUCGCGACGUCAGGUGGGAAGGAUGAGAAGGAGAGGUCUGUGGUGUAGGAGUUGUCGUCGUAGCAGCAGCCUCCGGCGCCUCCGGAGCAGGAAGAGACUUCGGAGCUCCGGAGGGAUUCUGGAAAGAAGACAUUAUCGCAGAAGUCCAGGAUCUGGACCGAUGAGAUGGGGCUGGACAGGCUUUCCUGUGGUAUUAGAUUAGAAGAUGAAAUUAGAGCCGUUGGAUUAGAUUACAGUAAUUAUAACCAACAGUACGAGUUUUUUUUUU